GUGUGUGAAGAAGGCCUUAUGGUUGUAAAGCACUUUAAGCGAGGAGGAGGCUACUUUAGUUAAUACCUAGAGAUAGUGGACGUUACUCGCAGAAUAAGCACCGGCUAACUCUGUGCCAGCAGCCGCGGUAAUACAGAGGGUGCAAGCGUUAAUCGGAUUUACUGGGCGUAAAGCGCGCGUAGGCGGCUAAUUAAGUCAAAUGUGAAAUCCCCGAGCUUAACUUGGGAAUUGCAUUCGAUACUGGUUAGCUAGAGUGUGGGAGAGGAUGGUAGAAUUCCAGGUGUAGCGGUGAAAUGCGUAGAGAUCUGGAGGAAUACCGAUGGCGAAGGCAGCCAUCUGGCCUAACACUGACGCUGAGGUGCGAAAGCAUGGGGAGCAAACAGGAUUAGAUACCCUGGUAGUCCAUGCCGUAAACGAUGUCUACUAGCCGUUGGGGCCUUUGAGGCUUUAGUGGCGCAGCUAACGCGAUAAGUAGACCGCCUGGGGAGUACGGUCGCAAGACUAAAACUCAAAGGNNNUUGACGGGG
RNAcentral lists this ribosomal RNA (527 nucleotides) under Acinetobacter sp. RNAcentral's name for it is "bacterial SSU rRNA". It matches the Rfam family "Bacterial small subunit ribosomal RNA", at positions 401 to 918 of the family's 1533-position model. The record is from RNAcentral. Lineage: Bacteria; Pseudomonadati; Pseudomonadota; Gammaproteobacteria; Moraxellales; Moraxellaceae.